CAUGGGAAUCACAGCACACAAACCCUCGCUGGAAAGGCUUGGACGCGUCACAUGACUCGUUGCGAGGCGCAGCUUCAGGAGAUGGGUGAUGGACAACUGAGAGUGGAGCAUAAGAAAGCGGUCCUGACAUGGCCGCUCAGCAACCAAUCAAUGUGAGGCGUCUACGGGAUCCCAGAGGAACACGGGACAUGAUUUCCCUCAGGAUGGAGAAGAAAGCAUGUUUGUGUUGCUCAAUUCCAAGCAGGAAGUGCGUCUGGUUCUUCUGGAGCUGGAGUUCAUCAGCACUGUCAGCGUGGCGGGAUGAGGAGGUGCUAGCCUUGCUUGCCAUGUUUGACCCUUCUUUGUGUCCACACGCAAUGUCUGGGCAUGUCAGCCCAGACAUUUCCAGAAUGACAAC
Non-coding RNA from Doryrhamphus excisus (bluestripe pipefish), 397 nucleotides. Lineage: Eukaryota; Metazoa; Chordata; Actinopteri; Syngnathiformes; Syngnathidae. The record is from RefSeq and is a predicted model, not a curated record.